CGGGCCGUAGUAUAACGGUAGUACGCGAGCAUGGGGUGCUUGUAGCGAGGGUUCAAUUCCCUCCGGCCCGA
RNAcentral lists this transfer RNA (71 nucleotides) under Candidatus Falkowbacteria bacterium RIFOXYA2_FULL_47_19. Its description in RNAcentral is "tRNA-Pro". It matches the Rfam family "tRNA". From Rfam's summary of the family: Transfer RNA (tRNA) molecules are approximately 80 nucleotides in length. Their secondary structure includes four short double-helical elements and three loops (D, anti-codon, and T loops). The record is from RNAcentral. RNAcentral also lists the same sequence under 2 other names. Lineage: Bacteria; Candidatus Falkowiibacteriota.